AGAGUUUGAUCCUGGCUCAGGACGAACGCUGGCGGUAUGCCUAAUACAUGCAAGUCGAACGCUGAAGCACUCUGCUUGCAGAGUGUGGAUGAGUGGCGAACGGGUGAGUAACACGUGGGGAACCUGCCCAUAAGAGGGGGAUAACAUCCGGAAACGGGUGCUAAUACCGCAUAGGUGAUCAUAACGCAUGCUUAGAUCAUUAAAGAUGGCUUCGGCUAUCGCUUAUGGAUGGCCCCGCGGCGUAUUAGCUAAUUGGUGAGGUAAUGGCUCACCAAGGCUGUGAUACGUAGCCGACCUGAGAGGGUGAUCGGCCACACUGGAACUGAGACACGGCCCAGACUCCUACGGGAGGCAGCAGUAGGGAAUCUUCCACAAUGGGCGAAAGCCUGAUGGAGCAAUACCGCGUGAGUGAAGAAGGUCUUCGGAUCGUAAAGCUCUGUUGUUAGAGAAGAACAAGAGGUGUAGUAACUGGCACCUCCUUGACGGUAUCUAACCAGAAAGUCACGGCUAACUACGUGCCAGCAGCCGCGGUAAUACGUAGGUGACAAGCGUUGUCCGGAUUUAUUGGGCGUAAAGCGAGCGCAGGCGGUCUUUUAAGUCUGAUGUGAAAGCCCACGGCUCAACCGUGGAGGGUCAUUGGAAACUGGAAGACUUGAAUGCAGAAGAGGAAAGUGGAAUUCCAUGUGUAGCGGUGAAAUGCGUAGAUAUAUGGAGGAACACCAGUGGCGAAGGCGACUUUCUGGUCUGUAAUUGACGCUGAGGCUCGAAAGCGUGGGGAGCGAACAGGAUUAGAUACCCUGGUAGUCCACGCCGUAAACGAUGAGUGCUAAGUGUUGGAGGGUUUCCGCCCUUCAGUGCUGGAGCUAACGCAUUAAGCACUCCGCCUGGGGAGUACGGCCGCAAGGCUGAAACUUAAAUGAAUUGACGGGGGC
Molecule: ribosomal RNA, 932 nt
Filed under: uncultured bacterium
Lineage: Bacteria
Description: bacterial SSU rRNA
Rfam family: Bacterial small subunit ribosomal RNA
Source: RNAcentral